ACGAAAGAAGGAGGAGAAGAAGAAGUAUGU
RNAcentral lists this small RNA (30 nucleotides) under Arabidopsis thaliana (thale cress). RNAcentral's name for it is "ATSL121900". Lineage: Eukaryota; Viridiplantae; Streptophyta; Magnoliopsida; Brassicales; Brassicaceae. The record is from RNAcentral.